Molecule: long non-coding RNA, 1004 nt
Filed under: Lynx pardinus (Iberian lynx)
Lineage: Eukaryota; Metazoa; Chordata; Mammalia; Carnivora; Felidae
Source: RNAcentral
UCCACCAUAAGGCUUAAGCAGUCCAUUUGAUUUAGAUUCUAAAAGCAGGGUAGUAGUGACUAACAUGUAGGUUAUGCAAAUUUUCCUCCACUUUCUUCAUAAUAAGAGUCUGAACUUAAGCAGCUUAUCUUAUAAUCCCUUUUAUCUUGCUAUAAAACCUGUCCCAUGCAAGUGCUUAAUAAAAGAGGAAUGAAUAAAUGAAUGAACAAAUAAAUGAAUAAAAGCAAAUGCCAUGUUUUAGACAUGCAGAUUUAAAAAGUUUCUAUACAAAGUAUUAAAAGAACUGAACCAACAGAACCAACUUUAGGCUUUAAACAGAUUUUAUGUUUAAGUUAAUCAUGUAUGUGAGAUGGCAAAUAAAUCAGGGAAAAAUGUGAACCUUAAAACUUGUAUCUCUAGAAAAAUUUCAGUUGGGAGACCACUACCACUUAAUUGUUGAAGUGACUUUAGUUACUCAUCCAUGGAACAGGAAGAAAACUACUUGGCAAGAUUGUCAUGAUGAGACCAUUAAACUACGUACAUGCAAAGGCGGACCAGUUUAUAAACUCCAAGUGCAUUGGGAACACCAUGGAAUAUCUGGGAACUAGCCCAAUACCAAACACAUUGGAGACACUUGAUAAGUGUCUCCUUAAUAGAAAUAUGAGUGCAUAACAUUAAAGAAAGUUAUUCUGUAGAGUGUGAGUGUGUGUGUGUGUGUGUGUGUGUGUGUGUGUGUGUGUAAGAGGGGCAGUGGAGUAAGGAGAGAGAAUUAUAUAGGGGCAUAAUAUACAGUAGUAAAAAUUUACUGUCUUUUCAUAUUCAAACAUUUUUCAAACUUCAUUCUGAUUCUAUAAAUAAGCAUAUGUCAGAUAUGUCAGGAAUACAUCAAAUUUCAGUAUGUACUUAAAAUUUCUAUUUUUUUCACCAUUAGCUGUUUCUCAUUAGAUCCAGCAAUUGAAAUACAUUUUGCUUGUGCUGCAGUUUUCUAUUACAGAUAUGUAAUAAGACUGACAAAGAAAUGGGAA